Molecule: long non-coding RNA, 717 nt
Organism: Homo sapiens (human)
Lineage: Eukaryota; Metazoa; Chordata; Mammalia; Primates; Hominidae
Product: long independently transcribed non-coding RNA 2698
Exons: 5
Source: RefSeq, a predicted model, not a curated record
GACCGGGAGGGUGCAGCUGGGCUCUUCGCGGGGAGCGGGCGGGAGGCCUUCCUGUUACAUGUCGCAGCUGGGACACAGACGGCAGCGCUCCAGGGUCCACUUGCCGGCUUCGGUUCCCUCAGGCCCAGGACCAGGCUCCACACCGCUGUCGCGUCCCUUAGCCGUGUGGGCUGUAGCACAGAGGGGGCAAACACCUCCAGGGGCUUGUGCCAAGUAAUUACCAAGCAAAUUCCCGGCGAUUUCCUCUCCUCCCCCCGCCCCCCCGGGCAGUGCCCGCUGCGUGUUCCCUGAUUCGGCCCCCGGCUGUGCAAUCAGCUCCAGGUAACCUGCGGGGACCCGUAAUUGCUCUGGAGUUGCCUGCGAGUUUGCAAGGUGGACACGGAAUUGUAGUGCUGGUCCUCCCUCUGCACUGGACUGGAUUCUGCCAAAGUCAACCAAGCGCCUUCAGUUGCUGACUCUCGUCUCCAGGCCUGAUGUCUGGGAGCUCGUCUAAUUCUGCCACUUUAAGGGUCUACUCUGCAGUCCUCAAAGUUCAGAUGAUUCUUCCCCAAACCAUCAAAGACAGCCCUGGCUGUCUCUGAGUUCUUAUGCCCAUGAGGAUGACCUAUGAAUCCCAGAAAGAUACAGAAUUGAGAAUCACCAGAGAACUCUGUUCCAGGAAUCAAGUGAUUAAAGUUACAGUUCCAGUGUCAUCACUAAAUAGCAAGGUGACCUUGG